RNAcentral lists this transfer RNA (73 nucleotides) under Stegodyphus mimosarum. It matches the Rfam family "tRNA". Rfam says of the family: Transfer RNA (tRNA) molecules are approximately 80 nucleotides in length. Their secondary structure includes four short double-helical elements and three loops (D, anti-codon, and T loops). Lineage: Eukaryota; Metazoa; Arthropoda; Arachnida; Araneae; Eresidae. The record is from Rfam by way of RNAcentral.
GCCUUCGUGGUGUAGUGGUCAAUACACUCGACCCGUAACCCAGAGGUCCGUGGUUCGAUUCCCGGCGAAGGUG